This 563-nucleotide ribosomal RNA is filed under the name uncultured bacterium. RNAcentral's name for it is "bacterial SSU rRNA". It matches the Rfam family "Bacterial small subunit ribosomal RNA", at positions 338 to 916 of the family's 1533-position model. The record is from RNAcentral.
CCUACGGGAGGCAGCAGUGGGGAAUCUUGCGCAAUGGGCGAAAGCCUGACGCAGCAACGCCGCGUGCGGGAAGAAGGCUUUCGGGCUGUAAACCGCUUUCAGCAGGAACGAAAAUGACGGUACCUGCAGAAGAAGGAGCGGCCAACUAUGUGCCAGCAGCCGCGGUGAUACAUAGGCUUCAAGCGUUGUCCGGAUUUAUUGGGCGUAAAGAGUUCGUAGGCGGUCGAGUAAGUCGGGUGUGAAAAUUCUGGGCUCAACCCAGAGACGCCACCCGAUACUGCUUGACUUGAGUUCGAUAGGGGAGUGGGGAAUUCCUAGUGUAGCGGUGAAAUGCGCAGAUAUUAGGAGGAACACCGGUGGCGAAGGCGCCACUCUGGAUCGAUACUGACGCUGAGGAACGAAAGCAUGGGUAGCAAACAGGAUUAGAUACCCUGGUAGUCCAUGCUGUAAACGGUGGGCACUAGGUGUGGGUUUCUAUUAACGAAAUCCGCGCCGUCGCUAACGCAUUAAGUGCCCCGCCUGGGGAGUACGGUCGCAAGACUAAAACUCAAAGGAAUUGACGG